RNAcentral lists this ribosomal RNA (253 nucleotides) under uncultured bacterium. RNAcentral describes it as "partial 16S ribosomal RNA". It matches the Rfam family "Bacterial small subunit ribosomal RNA", at positions 524 to 776 of the family's 1533-position model. The record is from RNAcentral.
GACAGAGGGUGCAACCGUUGUUCGGAAUUACUGGGCGUAAAGCGCGUGUAGGCCGCUUCGCAAGUCGGAUGUGAAAGCCCUGGGCUCAACCUAGGAAGUGCAUUCGAAACUGCAAAGCUUGAGUUCUGGAGAGGAAGGCGGAAUUCUCGGUGUAGAGGUGAAAUUCGUAGAUAUCGGGAGGAACACCGGUGGCGAAGGCGGCCUUCUGGACAGCAACUGACGCUGAGACGCGAAAGCGUGGGGAGCAAACAGG